UGAUCCGGACGUGUCCGAAUGGGGCAACCCGCACGGCUGAAGGCCGUGCACCGGCGCGAGCCGGGGCGAACCCGGGGAACUGAAACAUCUUAGUACCCGGAGGAGAAGAAAGAAACAGUCGAUUCCCUUAGUAGUGGCGAUCGAAGAGGGAGGAGCCUAAACCGCCGCGUUCGAGGACGCGGCGGGGUUGUAGGACCGGCGAUGUCCGCAUCCGCGCAAACCGGAGCAUGUCUGGAAAGCGUGGGCGCAGAGGGUGACACCCCCGUACGGGUAACGUGCGGAUGCGGAUGCCGGCACCUGAGUAGGGCGGGGCACGUGGAAUCCUGUCCGAAUCAGCGGGGACCAUCCCGCAAGGCUGAAGACUGCCGAAGACCGAUAGUGUACCAGUACCGUGAGGGAAAGGUGGGAAGCACCCCGGGAGGGGAGUGAAAUAGAACCUGAAACCGUGCGCUUGCAAGCGGUCGGAGCACCAUUAAAGGUGUGACGGCGUGCCUUUUGCAUAAUGAGCCUACGAGUUGCCUCACGCCGGCGAGGCUAAGCCAUUCAGUGGCGGAGCCGCAGCGAGAGCGAGUCUGAACAGGGCGUUCAGUCGGCGUGAGCAGACGCGAAACCUAGUGAUCUACCCUUGUCCAGGGUGAAGGGGCCGUAACAGGCUCUGGAGGCCCGAACCAGUUUCCGUUGAAAAGGGCUUGGAUGAGGUGAGGGUAGGAGUGAAAGGCCAAUCAAACUGGGAGAUAGCUCGUACUCCCCGAAAUGUCUUUAGGGACAGCCUCGUCAGUUUCCCGCGUGAGGUAGAGCUACCGAUUGGAAGCGAGGGCUUCGCCGCCUAUCAAUUCCAGACGAACUCCGAAUGCGCGCGGUGAUCUAUGACGGGAGUGAGUCGUCGGGUGCUAAUAUCCGGCGGCGAGAGGGUAAGAGCCCAGACCUCCGGCCAAGGCCCCCAAGAACGGUCUAAGUUGAGACAGAACGAAGUGGCACCGCAGAGACAGCCAGGAUGUUAGCUUGGAAGCAGCUAUUCAUUCAAAGAGUGCGUAACAGCUCACUGGUCGAGCGGAGCCGCGUGGAUGAUGAUCGGGCAUCAAGACCGUCGCCGAAGCCGAGGACGACGCGCCAUAGCGCGCGCCGUGGUAGGGGAGCAUUCCGGUCGGCGCCGAAGGCGCGGCGCGAGCCGUGCUGGAGCGUCCGGAAAAGAAAAUGUAGGCAUGAGUAACGACAAGAGAUGUGUGAACAUCUCCGCCGAAAACCCAAGGUUUCCGGGGCCACGCUAAACGGCCCCGGGUCAGCCGGGAGCUAAGGGUAAGCCGAACGGUGAUCCCGAUGCCGAUGCGGUCAACAUUCCGCAGCCGGCGCGCCAGGCGCACACGUGACCGAGGAGUGACACUGCCGCGGGGAGACGGAAUUCCCCGUUGAAGGCCGUAGGGCGACCGAAAGCCGACAGUACGGCGAGCCUUCGGGCGAGCCGACAGAGCAGGUAACCAUACUCGCGAGAAAAGCGUGUGCGCGCCAAGCGUCGCGCCGCCCGUACCGUAAACCGACACAGGUGGGUGGGGAGAGUAUCCUGAGGCGCUCGAGUGAAUCACGGCCAAGGAACUAGGCAAAUUGACCCCGUAACUUCGGGAUAAGGGGUCCCACAGCGAUGUGGGCGCAGAGAAAUGGCCCAGGCGACUGUUUACCAAAAACAUAUGGCUAUGCGAAAUCGAUAAGAUGACGAAUAUGGCCUGACACCUGCCCGGUGCCGGAAGGUUAAGAGGGGGGGUCACCGAAAGGGAAGCCCUGAAUUGAAGCCCCGGUAAACGGCGGCCGUAACUAUAACGGUCCUAAGGUAGCGAAAUUCCUUGUCAGGUAAG
RNAcentral lists this ribosomal RNA (1847 nucleotides) under human gut metagenome. RNAcentral's name for it is "bacterial LSU rRNA". It matches the Rfam family "Bacterial large subunit ribosomal RNA", at positions 100 to 1980 of the family's 2925-position model. The record is from RNAcentral.